UUUGUGCGGCGGCACGGCUCUGCAAUUUCCCCAGUGUUGCUCACCUCUGCGCAAUUACAUUACGCGGUAGUUCGAGUGUCAAGCCGUGCUCUGAGCGACUUGGACGUCUUAGUACCCAAUUGUCUUCUUGCGUGAAGCAAGUGGAUGGGUCGGUGGUUCAAACAUUU
RNAcentral lists this small nucleolar RNA (167 nucleotides) under Rhizoctonia solani AG-1 IB. RNAcentral describes it as "small nucleolar RNA snR35". It matches the Rfam family "small nucleolar RNA snR35". Lineage: Eukaryota; Fungi; Basidiomycota; Agaricomycetes; Cantharellales; Ceratobasidiaceae. The record is from Rfam by way of RNAcentral.